CCUCACGUGACGCCGACGCCGCGCGCGCCCGGCGGCCUCCGGGCUCCGCCUCCCACCUGGCGGUGCCCCGGAGUGGGCGUCCUUGGGCUCUAGGGCGGGGGUCUCCGAGGGGAGUCUCGGUGGAGCUCGGUGACCGCCGAGACUCGCAGGCUUUUGUCUCAGGGAGCCAGGGACGCUCGAGGGACUGGCUCCCGCUGCCCUCCCCGAUGGCUUGUUUCGCCGUGGGGACGGCCGGCUAGCCUCCCGCGGGGACCUAGGACGGAAAAGCGACUGCACACCCCUCUCCCUGCCCCGUGGCGCGUCCUGCUCCCUCUAGCCUACCCAGGUGGUGCUGCCGAGGUCAGAGGGUUUCGGAGGAGGACUCGCUGAACUCCAGAGAUGUCUCUCCCGCCCCCCAUUUCCUACCGGUCCGAGAGCAGCGGCGCUAGGCGGGAAGGUAGGGAAGGUGGCAACUGGAUCCUGACCCGAAGGAAGGAGGGAGUGAGGCAUGGGGCCCAGGUGACGUUACCUGGGACAAACAAAAGGACGCUAUGAGUAAACAAUCAGACAAAUCCGGAAUGGGGUACAAGAACCCUCCUAGCCUUGGUCUCUUCAAAAAAUUCUGAGAGCAUCUACCAUUGAAGAGGCAUUAAACACCCAAGUAGAAUGACUCAGCCAGUUAGUGCCAAACAGCUUUUCCGUCAGCCACCCAGUUCUGGCACAGUGGAUUCAUGAACAGAAAAGACAUGGUAACGAGGAAAGCUAUACAUGGGCCCACAAGCAUGAUCUCCCACUCACCAACAUUAAUUUAACUAUUCCCGUGGCCACAUGAUCAACCUGCCGGCAACAGGAAUCAUUGCUGAGACUCAGUACUGCACUAUCCCUUGAAGAUACCAAAGAGCUCCUUGGUGAAAAGGCAACCAUAUUGGACUCCUCCCACCCUGGAUGAGGCAGUCACUCAUUUCAACAUGAAUAGACUCAUAUUCUAUGGGUUUGCCUUUCUUGCCUGCUGAGCCUCAGCCAACAUGACUGUCCAAGGGCUUAUAUUGUAUUUGAUCCAUCAUUAUGGCAUCCCAUAUAUCAUUGUAUCCAAUCAAGGAACCCAUUACAUAGCAGAGGGAUGUAGCAGUGGGCAUAUGACCAUGGAAUUGACUUUGGACCCGUCACAUGGCAUACCGCCCAGAAAGAUUAGCUGAAGUACCAGCUUGGAGAUGAUACCCGUGAGGAUAAAGUGCUACUCUCCAGGACGCAGUCAUGCUCUGAAUCAAUCACCAUUGUAUGAUGCUGUAUCCCCCACAGGAGAACACCUGGAAGUGUGAUCAAAGUUGUGGAAGCAGGAGCAUCCCUAUGUACCAUCAAUCCCAAUGACCCACUGGGGGAAUUUCUGUUUUUCAUCCUCACAAGCGUAACCACAGGUUUAAAGGUCUUAGUUUCCAAAGGGGAAACAUUUCUACCAGGAACAGCAAGAGUCUUCAAUGAACUUUAAACUAUACCACCACCCAGCAUUUUGGGCCCUUCAUGCCAAAGACCAGCAGGCAAGACAAAGAUCCUCAUGGGGGUAGUUGACUCUUAUUAUCAAGAGACAGUAGAGCUACGAUUACACAGUGGAGACAGGGAGGCAUAUGUUUGGCAUCCCGGUAUUCAACUAGGACAUCUUUUAGUACCU
This is a long non-coding RNA of Mirounga angustirostris (Northern elephant seal), 1645 nucleotides long. RefSeq lists it as uncharacterized. NCBI's taxonomy places the organism in Eukaryota, Metazoa, Chordata, Mammalia, Carnivora, Phocidae. The transcript is spliced from 3 exons. The record is from RefSeq and is a predicted model, not a curated record.